GUUGUCUGCAGCGCUGUGUGAUCCUUGCAUGCAUCCUCACAAAAGUGGCAUCUUCUCACCCGGAAUGAUGACUUCCUCUCAGCUGGAGCUUUCAGCGGAAAUGGACAGCUUCCAGAGGAGAUUCUCUAUGCUGCAGGCUGGGAGUGGGGAUGCUGGUUGGGAAAGCUGUUCCAGCAUUGUGGUGGGGGUUAAACUAGACGGAUGUCAUCUGGCCUUGCAGAGAGCAAAUAAUGCCUCAUUGCCUCGUACCAGUUUCAUUGUGGUGGACAGGGAGCAGAGCAGAACCAAGUCCUCAUCAGCCUCUCUGCAGCGAGCAUUGCACUUUCCUUGAUUCUCCAGGCAAUCCUGCCAGUGAGACCUAGUGGACAGAAACACUGAAAUCCAUACUUUCUGCUCAGAAUGCAAAAAAAGCAGAAGCAGCAGAAAUAAAUCUGAAAACUACAGGUGCCUUUGGGGAGGC
RNAcentral lists this long non-coding RNA (460 nucleotides) under Anas platyrhynchos platyrhynchos (common mallard). RNAcentral describes it as "lncRNA (ENSAPLG00000028157.1)". The record is from RNAcentral. Lineage: Eukaryota; Metazoa; Chordata; Aves; Anseriformes; Anatidae.